Molecule: unclassified non-coding RNA, 508 nt
Filed under: uncultured Pelagibacterales bacterium
Lineage: Bacteria; Pseudomonadati; Pseudomonadota; Alphaproteobacteria; Candidatus Pelagibacterales
Description: partial 16S-23S ribosomal RNA intergenic spacer
Rfam family: Bacterial large subunit ribosomal RNA (bases 394-508)
Source: RNAcentral
CCUCCUUUCUAAGGAUGAAUAAAAGUAAAAUUUUAUUCUAAAUAAUAUACAGGUUAAUGUUGACCGUCCUCGUUUCUCUUCUUAAAUUAGUGUUUCCAUCUUGUAGGGCCGGUAGCUCAGUUGGUUAGAGCACACCCUUGAUAAGGGUGGGGUCGAAAGUUCGAGUCUUUCUCGGCCCACCAAAUUAAUGGGGGAUUAGCUCAGCUGGGAGAGCGCCUGAUUUGCAUUCAGGAGGUCAGCGGUUCGAUCCCGCUAUCCUCCACCAGGAAACAUUUAGCUAUUUUUUUUGUGAAUAUUUAAUAAUUUAUAUCAAUAUCUAUAUCCGAACACUAAUUUGUUUAUUAAUGUUCAAAUAAAAAAUUUGAUUCAACACAGAAUUUUUUUCUGUGCAUAAAUCAAGCGUUUAAGGGCGUGUGGCGGAUGCCUUGGCACUGAAAGCCGAUGAAGGACGUGGUAUACUGCGAUAAGUUACGGGGAGCUGUAUGCAAGUUUUGAUCCGUAGAUUCCG